UCUCACAAAUCUAAUAUUUUUCUUGUCAAAAUUGAAAUCAAUACGAAUCUUAUCGAUGUAUAUCUCAAUUAAACCUUACAAGGUACUAAACGUUACAUAAAUAGCAUACUUGAGUCACAUAAUAACAACGUGUAUAGCUUUUCAAACACAUUGAUCAAAUAAAAAAAAAAGAAAAUAAAAAAAAAAGAAAAGAAAAAGUAGGUUUAUCUGUCGAUAAAAAAGAUUCCUCUGAGUCGAUAAUCAAGUUUCUCUAGCUUGUACUGCCACCAUGCGACUGUUUCGAUCGAUCGGUCGAUAAGUUAGGGGACGAUAAAAAACGAGUUUAAUAAUAAUAGUAAUAAUCUAUCUGUUUCAUGAGAAAAUAAACACGUUUGGUGGUAGUGUUUACGGAAGAUUGUAACAGCUGUAUUUAUAUAUAUGCGUUUGGCGAGAGAAAAGUGGAACGCGGGGAGAGGGGAGCGAUUGAAAAGGGGAUGAUCCCGACAACGCGAGCGACAUAAUUGGCCAUGAAAAAAGAAAAAAAAAAAAAAGAAAGAAAGAAAGAAAGAAAGAAAAAAGUUUGAUUUACGUUGGACACUUACUAUUGAAAUUUUAUUGGUUAUCUUUUAAUCGUUUUUUCUAAUAUCAUAAAAAUAAAAAUCUUUUUUGUUUUUAACACGUGAUUCUUUGGAGCACCAACUUCGUCGAUUAUCUUGAUGCAUGUAUCAGUUUAUGCAAUCGCUAUGACGACUCCAUAAAUAACUGCAUAACAAGUAAGAGUUCGCGCGAUGAACUAAGAAAAAAAAAACAAAAAAAAAAGAAGAAAAUGAAAAAUUUGAAAUGAAAUAAAAAAAGAAAAUAAAAAAAUCUGAUUACGUAAGGAACGGGUAAAAAAAUUGUAAAAUUUAUUUGUAGAAGUUUUUCCAUGAAAAGAGAAAAAAAAGAAAGAGAGAGAGAAAAGAGAGAAAAGAAGAAUUUUUAUUUUCCACAAAGAGAUAUUUAUUAUUUUAUACCUGAAGUAAGAAUAUCUUCACGGAGAGAGGAAAGGAGCAUUCUUCCGUGUUCUAAACACCUGCGAGAGGGGAAGAAUACAAGGGACAGGACAAGGCAGUUUCAGUUUAGAUUCAUCAUGGCGUCGUGGACGAAUUCGUUUCGGAAAAUAAAAUAUUCAACUAAUAUCCUCUCUAUUAUACGUCGACAAUGACGAAGAUGACGACGACGAUGAGGACGAUGAGAACAACGAGGAGUUAGACGUUCGAAACGAUUUUCUUAGAGAACGUUUCCUGGGUAACUCGUGCGUCAUCCUUUAUCGUUCUCGAAAAGAACACACACACGUCAGCUGGUGGUGCCUGGUGUGCUUCGAGGGACACGGCAUAACCGCUCGUGUUUCUCCUUCUAUGCCGCGAGAGUGCACCCUCGGCGCUCUGAGCUCGCUCGAGGCCGAAACCGAUGGAUUUGAUGACAAAUUUUAGUCGUCUAUCUAAAGAAAAUCGUGGAAACCGAUACGAUUGGCAAUUCAACUGAUGAAUUUGUUAGUGCAUGUGUCGACAGUACACUCCCAAAGCGUCAGCGAUUUGUUUUCGCCGAUUCAAGAAGAUUACCGUCGCGCAAAACAUCACUUUAUCGACUGCUAGGUGUCGCAAUGGUGACAUGUCGUCUACACGUACAAACAUG
Vespula vulgaris is the source of this 1653-nucleotide long non-coding RNA. RefSeq lists it as uncharacterized. The transcript has 3 exons. The record is from RefSeq and is a predicted model, not a curated record. NCBI's taxonomy places the organism in Eukaryota, Metazoa, Arthropoda, Insecta, Hymenoptera, Vespidae.